Molecule: long non-coding RNA, 3193 nt
Organism: Symphalangus syndactylus (siamang)
Lineage: Eukaryota; Metazoa; Chordata; Mammalia; Primates; Hylobatidae
Source: RefSeq, a predicted model, not a curated record
GCGUGAUCUCAGCUCACUGCCACCUCUGUCUCCUGUGUUCAAGUGAUUCUCCUGCCUCAGCUUCCUGAGUAGCUAGGAUUACAGGUGCACGCCAGCUAAUUUUUGUAUUUUUUUUUAGUAGAGAUGGGGUUUUGCCAUGUUGCCCAGGCUGGUCUUGGACUCCUGGCCUCAAAUGAUCUGCCCGCCUCAGCCUCCCAAAGUGCUGGGAUUACAGGUGUGAGCCACCAUGCCUGGCCUCUGCCUCCAUCUUCACAUGGUAUUCUUCCCUGUCUGUGUCCAAAUUUCCCUCUUGUUAUAAGGAUACCACUCAUUGCGUUAGAACUCACCUUGAUCCAGUGUGACCUUUUCUUAAACUUUAUGUAUGCAAAGACUCUUUUUCCAAUUGAGGUCACAUUCAGAGGUAUUGGAGGUUAGGCUUUGAACCUAUCUUUUUGGGAGACUCAAUGCUAACCUCAGUAGCAUGGUAAAGUCCUAACACAGUACCCACACAUAGGUGGCCUUCAGUGAAUAAUAGUUUCCAUUGUUCUGCUGUUGUAGAGUGUUUGGCAGUGCCCACAUGGAACUUUCUAACUGAAUUCUGCGGUCUUUUCAGACCUUGGAGGCUAUCGUAUCAAUAAAACCAGAGCAUUUUCUGUUGUUUGGUAAGGCACAGCUUCUGUUUGCGGCAUGAUGCUCUUCUAGGGUGCGUAUAAGAGCCCCCAUGCAUCUCAAUUACAGAAUAUGUUAGGCGUCUGGAUUUUGUCUAACUUAGCCUAGUACUGUCGUGGGUUCCUUUGGGCAGUUUUGCCUUGCUUAACAAUGCAAACUAGAAACUGCACACAAAUGGUUACCCAAAAUGAGUCCUGUUAUUAUUGCUUCUUUUACCCCUGGGGCCCCAAACUGCAGAAGGCUUAUUCACUGCAAGACUCUAAAUGUCUUGCCUCCAUAUAUUACAUUCCGUAUUACGCUGGAACAUGGUGAAAUUAAUUGUGGCCAGGCAGGAAGACAGAAAAAAACCUGUAAUGGUUUAUCAUAUUUUGUAGGCUUUGUGAGGGCCAUAAAUUUAAGGCAUAUAGGAAUUGUGUUUAUUCCUUAGAUUUCACAAAUUUGUCAUGUUCCUUUUCUCCAAUGGUGACAGGUUCUUCCGACAACUGGGUCUCUGUUGUUGAAGUAGAAAAUAGAAAAGGGAGUGGGCAUGGGGAUGUUUCUAGUGUCACAGAUCACUGCAGAGCUCUCCCUCGCAAGCUUCUUUGGUUACAUGGCUGUUAAUAGCUAAAUUAUUAAUGCAGGUUUGCUGGUGGAGGGAGCUGCUUUUGACCAUUGCCUCUCUUCUUACAUCAGCUCUUCAAUAGCCACAAUUGUAGGAGUCACAUUGCAUGCAGAGCAGUUCACAAAUUGAAUGGUUGUUUGUGUGUGUGUGUGUGUGUGUAGCAGGGGAGGCUCAGAGUUUUGGCCUCUGGCUGUAUGGCUGUAUACUUGUGAGUAUCCUUUGUCUGAAACCUGAUGAUGCAGGAAUUUACAUCUUGGAAUGGGAGCUGGUUUAAACAAGGAAAUUUAUUCAUUACUGAAUUCUCCUGAGAGUUCAGCAGCUCCUGUGAGCAUGGAAGUGCCCCUGUCUCAAUCUUUUUGGAUAAUGAAGAUGCAUAUUCCAAAGGUUAGAUUUCUCUGAAAUGACUGUUUUUUCAAGAUAGUAGGGAAGCAGUAUUGGCCACAGAGAUCCAGGUGGCUGCAUGAACAAGAAUACAACCUUGAUUUUAUGGUCUUUACUUCCUUUUCCAAAGUCAAGGUCCAUGAGUUGAUUAAAAAUAUCACAAAGUGAUUUAACUAUUCCUCAGUAAUCUUGUAGCCUAUUGCCAUCAAACUUUGUUGACAGCGACUUAUGGAAACACAUUGGUAUGUCCACACACAAAUUUGUGCGCUAAUGGUUCAUAGCAGCAUUAUUCAUAAUAGCCUGAAAGUGGCAGCAACCCACAUGUUCACCAGUGGAUGAAUGGAUAAAUGAAAUGUAGUAUAUCUAUACAAUGGGAUAUUAUUCAGCCAUACAAAGGAACAAAGUUCUGAUACAUGCUACAGUAUGAAUGAACCUUGGAAAUAUUAUGCUAAAUGAGAAGAAGCCGGUUACAAAAGACCACAUAUUGUAUCAUUCAAUUUAUAGGAAAUGUCCAGAGUAGGCAAAUACGUGGAGAUAGAAAGUAGAUAGGUGGUUGCCUAGGGCUGAGUUGGGGUUUGGGAGGAAAUGGGGCAUGGCUGCUAAUGGGCAUGGGGUUUCCUUUUGGGGUGAUGAAAUGUUCUAAAAUUGAUUGUGGUGACGGUUGCACAACUCUGAAUAUACCAAAAGCCAUAGCGUUGUAUACUUUCAAUAGGUAAAUUGUAUAGUGUGUGAGUUUUAUCUCUUAGUCAUGCUGUUAAAGAUCACAUUUACAUUGCAAACAAGAACAUUUAUAUAAAGGUGAAUCAAAACACACUCUUCAUAUCUGAUAUAUUCUGAUUUAUUCCAGUCUUUUCCAUUUUAUUUCUUUAAAAGUGUCUGGACAUGAGCCAUGGUACUGAAUCCAUAAUCCACACUUUUAUGGAUUCCUUUCCAUUUUACAAAUUUAAAAAAUGGAGUUCCAGCACUUAAGAAGUGAGUACAGGUUUACACAAUUUAUAAAUGACUGAGUUGAGACUUCAGACUGGGUCUUUCUUCUGACUCCCAUUUCACUGUGCUAGCUAAGAGGUUGGGUAGUGUUUAAAAACAAUUUAAAAGAUUGAGCAAAUUUGGGGGUAAACAAAAAAGUACCAGCAAGGAAUAGCCUCCUUAUAAAUACCUUCACCUAUAGUCUGAAGUGCUUAGGGAAGCUGAGGGCACAGAGAAGGGCUGGCUGCACAUUUUUGCAUUGAGCAUAGUUUUCAGUGUCUGACACCCUGUGCAUUGCCCUGGCUGAGCGAGGAGGCUCCAUUUGUUUAUUUUUCAAGCAAAGAUGCUAUUUUCUCAGCACUGUAGAGUAAAAACAUUAGACAUUUCUAGCUGCCUGCCAAUUAGGGCUUGCUGGCUUCUAGCCCUUCCACUGAAAGUCAAAUUUGAGGUAGGGCAUCAUAGAAAAUGAAGAAAAGACAUACAAGUCAUUAGGGAGAAAAGAGGAACUGGUGUUCUCCUACAGCUCUGGAAUUGGUAUCAGAUAAUUGUGCCCUGACUGCGCAGUCCUGGCCAGAGAUACAAAAAAAAAAAAGAGAA